AGUCGAACGAAGCCUUCGGGCUUAGUGGCGGACGGGUGAGUAACGCGUGAGAAUCUCCCUUCAGGAUGGGGACAACCGUUGGAAACGACGGCUAAUCCCCAAUGUGCCGAGAGGUGAAAGGGUUUCCGCCUGAAGAAGAGCUCGCGUCCGAUUAGUUAGUUGGUGAGGUAAGAGCUCACCAAGGCAGCGAUCGGUAGCUGGUCUGAGAGGAUGAGCAGCCACACUGGGACUGAGACACGGCCCAGACUCCUACGGGAGGCAGCAGUGGGGAAUUUUCCGCAAUGGGCGAAAGCCUGACGGAGCAACGCCGCGUGUGGGAAGAAGGCUCUUGGGCUGUCAACCACUUUUCUCAGGGAAGAAGUUCUGACGGUACCUGAGGAAUCAGCCUCGGCUAACUCCGUGCCAGCAGCCGCGGUAAUACGGAGGAGGCAAGCGUUAUCCGGAAUUAUUGGGCGUAAAGCGUCCGCAGGGGGCGCAUCAAGUCUGCUGUUAAAGGCUGGAGCUUAACUCCGGUAGAGCAGUGGAAACUGGUGCGCUAGAGGGCGACAGGGGUAGAGGGAAUUCCCAGUGUAGCGGUGAAAUGCGUAGAGAUUGGGAAGAACACCGGUGGCGAAAGCGCUCUACUGGGUCGCACCUGACCCUCAGGGACGAAAGCUAAGGUAGCGAAAGGGAUUAGAUACCCCUGUAGUCUUAGCCGUAAACGAUGGAUACUAGGGCGUGGCUUGUAUCGACCCAAGCCGUGCCGAAGCUAACGCGUUAAGUAUC
This 765-nucleotide ribosomal RNA is filed under the name uncultured bacterium. RNAcentral describes it as "bacterial SSU rRNA". It matches the Rfam family "Bacterial small subunit ribosomal RNA", at positions 60 to 868 of the family's 1533-position model. The record is from RNAcentral.